RNAcentral lists this ribosomal RNA (253 nucleotides) under uncultured bacterium. RNAcentral's name for it is "partial 16S ribosomal RNA". It matches the Rfam family "Bacterial small subunit ribosomal RNA", at positions 80 to 334 of the family's 1533-position model. The record is from RNAcentral.
CUAAAAGAAUGGCGACCGGGGCACGGGUGAGUAACACGUAUCCAACCUGCCGAUAACUCGGGGAUAGCCUUUCGAAAGAAAGAUUAAUAUCCGAUGGUAUAUUUUCUCCGCAUGGUGAGAAUAUUAAAGAAUUUCGGUUAUCGAUGGGGAUGCGUUCCAUUAGUUUGUUGGCGGGGUAACGGCCCACCAAGACCACGAUGGAUAGGGGUUCUGAGAGGAAGGUCCCCCACAUUGGAACUGAGACACGGUCCAA